GUAGGGGGCAAGCGUUGUUCGGAAUUACUGGGCGUAAAGGGCGCGUAGGCGGCACAGCAAGUCGGGAGUGAAAGCCCGGGGCUCAACCCCGGAACGGCUUUCGAAACUGCUGAGCUAGAGUGCGGAAGGGGCAACCGGAAUUCCCAGUGUAGCGGUGAAAUGCGUAGAUAUUGGGAAGAACACCUGAGGCGAAGGCGGGUUGCUGGGCCGACACUGACGCUGAGGCGCGAAAGCCAGGGGAGCAAACGGGAUUAGAUACCCCGGUAGUCCUGGCCCUAAACGAUGGAUACUUGGUGUGUGGGGUUCUCUGAGUCCCCGCGUGCCGGAGCUAACGCGGUAAGUAUCCCGCCUGGGGAGUACGGUCGCAAGGCUGAA
This 375-nucleotide ribosomal RNA is filed under the name uncultured bacterium. RNAcentral's name for it is "bacterial SSU rRNA". It matches the Rfam family "Bacterial small subunit ribosomal RNA", at positions 527 to 898 of the family's 1533-position model. The record is from RNAcentral.